Long non-coding RNA from Mercenaria mercenaria, 323 nucleotides. RefSeq lists it as uncharacterized. The record is from RefSeq and is a predicted model, not a curated record. The transcript is spliced from 3 exons. NCBI's taxonomy places the organism in Eukaryota, Metazoa, Mollusca, Bivalvia, Venerida, Veneridae.
AAAUGCAUAGUGAGUUCAGAGCAUUUGAAUUACUGCUCGGAAAAAAGUUAUAGUUAUCUAACACUGGAACUGCGAAUUCAUGUGAUCAUUAAGCUUACGCAAACCAAGCACGUAUAGAUACCUUUACGCAAAUACGCAGCUGCGUAGUGAAAAUCUGACAACCAUACACAAUUAAUUGGCUAGUGUCAUGCAACGGCAACGGAGACGGCUUCAUACAUUAUCAUUGCAACUUGUGGAAAAACCACUUUUAAGAAGGACUUGCUGUUGAACCAUACAACUAGAAUCAGCCAACAAUACAGAGAAUAGUGUGGCUUUACAAAAGG